GCCAAUAGAAGACGCCACACCAAGAGCCACCCACCAUAAUCCAAACUGGAGAUAUCUACCAACCUCCUCAACAUGCUUUACAUGAGGACCAUCGGUUGUCACAAGCAGUAUUAAGGCAAGUCCAGCAAUCAUACUGAAAAGCAUACACCAUCGAUGCGACAAAAGAUAUGCUAUCGACCUCAUAAGAUACUGCAUCAUUGCCAUACUGAAAAGCUUGAGUGUUCUGAAAGGCUGUGUCAACAGAUUCAAAUUUUCUAAAUCCUUUUGAUGCUUCGCAGUAAGAUCUGAAAUUGCCAUCUCUUUAACUGGAGAAGCAGAACGAGAAUUUUUCUGUGAUGCUGUUUUCUUCUUCGACCCCAUUGCUAAUUG
Molecule: unclassified non-coding RNA, 369 nt
Filed under: Hevea brasiliensis (rubber tree)
Lineage: Eukaryota; Viridiplantae; Streptophyta; Magnoliopsida; Malpighiales; Euphorbiaceae
Source: RNAcentral